RNAcentral lists this transfer RNA (65 nucleotides) under Cranuca inversa. RNAcentral describes it as "tRNA-Leu". The record is from RNAcentral. Lineage: Eukaryota; Metazoa; Arthropoda; Malacostraca; Decapoda; Ocypodidae.
UCUAAAAUGGCAGAUAAUAUGUAUAGGAUUUAAGCUCCUACCAAGAAAGUUAAUUUCUUUUAGAA